GAAGAAGCGCCCAUUUCUCAUCCAUCAAAAUUCUACAUAAACUAAAACCCCUCUGAAAAUCCUAUUUCAAAUUUUAAAACUGCCUGCAG
Long non-coding RNA from Hibiscus syriacus, 89 nucleotides. RefSeq lists it as uncharacterized. The transcript has 3 exons. The record is from RefSeq and is a predicted model, not a curated record. Lineage: Eukaryota; Viridiplantae; Streptophyta; Magnoliopsida; Malvales; Malvaceae.